GAUGAACGCUGGCGGCGUGCCUAAUACAUGCAAGUCGAGCGAACAGACGAGUAGCUUGCUCCUCUGCCGUUAGCGGCGGACGGGUGAGUAACACGUGGAUAACCUACCUAUAAGACUUGGAUAACUUCGGGAAACCGGAGCUACUACCGGCUAAUAUAUUGAACCGCAUGGUUCAAUAGUUCAAGACGGUUUUGCUGUCACUUAUAGAUGGAUCCGCGCCGCAUUAGCUAGUUGGUAAGGUAACGGCUUACCAAGGCAACGAUGCGUAGCCGACCUGAGAGGGUGAUCGGCCACACUGGAACUGAGACACGGUCCAGACUCCUACGGGAGGCAGCAGUAGGGAAUCUUCCGCAAUGGGCGAAAGCCUGACGGAGCAACGCCGCGUGAGUGAUGAAGGUCUUCGGAUCGUAAAACUCUGUUAUUAGGGAAGAACAAAUGUGGAAGUAACUAUGCACGUCUUGACGGUACCUAAUCAGAAAGCCACGGCUAACUACGUG
Molecule: ribosomal RNA, 497 nt
Filed under: uncultured bacterium
Lineage: Bacteria
Description: partial 16S ribosomal RNA
Rfam family: Bacterial small subunit ribosomal RNA
Source: RNAcentral